This 496-nucleotide ribosomal RNA is filed under the name uncultured bacterium. RNAcentral describes it as "partial 16S ribosomal RNA". It matches the Rfam family "Bacterial small subunit ribosomal RNA", at positions 28 to 506 of the family's 1533-position model. The record is from RNAcentral.
GAUGAACGCUGGCGGCGUGCCUAAUACAUGCCAGUCGAGCGAACAGACGAGGAGCUUGCUCCUCUGACGUUAGCGGCGGACGGGUGAGUAACACGUGGAUAACCUACCUAUAAGACUGGGAUAACUUCGGGAAACCGGAGCUAAUACCGGAUAAUAUAUUGAACCGCAUGGUUCAAUAGUGAAAGACGGUUUUGCUGUCACUUAUAGAUGGAUCCGCGCCGCAUUAGCUAGUUGGUAAGGUAACGGCUUACCAAGGCGACGAUGCGUAGCCGACCUGAGAGGGUGAUCGGCCACACUGGAACUGAGACACGGUCCAGACUCCUACGGGAGGCAGCAGUAGGGAAUCUUCCGCAAUGGGCGAAAGCCUGACGGAGCAACGCCGCGUGAGUGAUGAAGGUCUUCGGAUCGUAAAACUCUGUUAUUAGGGAAGAACAAAUGUGUAAGUAACUAUGCACGUCUUGACGGUACCUAAUCAGAAAGCCACGGCUAAAUACGU